AGAGUUUGAUCAUGGCUCAGAACGAACGUAGCGGCGCGCUUAACACAUGCAAGUCGUGCGAGAAAGGGGCAACCCCGGUAAAGCGGCGCACGGGUGAGUAACACGUAGGUAAUCUGCCCCUUGGUGGUGGAUAACCUUCCGAAAGGAGGGCUAAUACAGCAUGAGACCACGGUCCCGCAAGGGGCUGAGGUCAAAGCCGG
Molecule: ribosomal RNA, 200 nt
Filed under: uncultured bacterium
Lineage: Bacteria
Description: partial 16S ribosomal RNA
Rfam family: Bacterial small subunit ribosomal RNA
Source: RNAcentral